AUUGAACGCUGGCGGCAUGCUUUACACAUGCAAGUCGAACGGCAGCGCGGGCUUCGGCCUGGCGGCGAGUGGCGAACGGGUGAGUAAUACAUCGGAACGUGCCCAGUAGUGGGGGAUAGCUCGGCGAAAGCCGGAUUAAUACCGCAUACGACCUGCGGGUGAAACCGGGGGAUCUUCGGACCUCGCGCUCUUGGAGCGGCCGAUGGCAGAUUAGCUCGUUGGUGGGGUAAAGGCCUACCAAGGCGACGAUCGGUAGCUGGUCUGAGAGGACGACCGGCCACACUGGGACGGAGACACGGACCAGAGUCCUACGGGAGGCAGCAGUGGGGAAUGUUGGACAAUGGGCGAAAGCCUGAUCCAGCAAUGCCGCGUGUGUGAUGAAGGCCUUCGGGUUGUAAAGCACUUUUGGCGGGAACGAAAAGGACUGUGCCAAUACCACGGUUCGAUGACGGUACCCGCAGAAUAAGCACCGGCUAACUACGUG
RNAcentral lists this ribosomal RNA (484 nucleotides) under uncultured bacterium. Its description in RNAcentral is "partial 16S ribosomal RNA". It matches the Rfam family "Bacterial small subunit ribosomal RNA", at positions 29 to 507 of the family's 1533-position model. The record is from RNAcentral.